GUGGGGAAUAUUGGACAAUGGGGGCAACCCUGAUCCAGCGAUGCCGCGUGGGUGAAGAAGGCCUUCGGGUUGUAAAGCCCUUUAGGUCGGGAAGAAGGUUAGUAGAGGAAAUGCUAUUAAUUUGACGGUACCGACAGAAUAAGCACCGGCAAACUCUGUGCCAGCAGCCGCGGUAAUACAGAGGGUGCGAGCGUUAAUCGGAUUUACUGGGCGUAAAGGGCGCGUAGGCGGUGAGAUGUGUGUGAUGUGAAAGCCCCGGGCUCAACCUGGGAAGUGCAUCGCAAACUGUCUGACUGGAGUAUAUGAGAGGGUGGCGGAAUUUCCGGUGUAGCGGUGAAAUGCGUAGAGAUCGGAAGGAACGUCGAUGGCGAAGGCAGCCACCUGGCAUAAUACUGACGCUGAGGCGCGAAAGCGUGGGGAUCGAACAGGAUUAGAUACCCUAGUAGUCC
This 449-nucleotide ribosomal RNA is filed under the name uncultured bacterium. RNAcentral describes it as "bacterial SSU rRNA". It matches the Rfam family "Bacterial small subunit ribosomal RNA", at positions 354 to 796 of the family's 1533-position model. The record is from RNAcentral.